CCUACGGAGGCUGCAGUGGGGAAUAUUGCACAAUGGGGGGAACCCUGAUGCAGCGACGCCGCGUGAGUGAAGAAGUAUUUCGGUAUGUAAAGCUCUGUCAGCAGGGAAGAAGAAAGACGGUACCUGACCAAGAAGCCCCGGCUAACUACGUGCCAGCAGCCGCGGUAAUACGUAGGUGGCAAGCGUUAUCCGGAUUUACUGGGUGUAAAGGGCGUGUAGGCGGGAAAGCAAGUCAGAUGUGAAAACCAUGGGCUCACCCUGUGGCCUGCAUUUGAAACUGUUUUUCUUGAGUACUGGAGAGGCAGACGGAAUUCCUAGUGUAGCGGUGAAAUGCGUAGAUAUUAGGAGGCACACCAGUGGCGAAGGCGGUCUGCUGGACAGCAACUGACGCUGAGGCGCGAAAGCGUGGGGAGCAAACAGGAUUAGAUACCCUGGUAGUC
RNAcentral lists this ribosomal RNA (440 nucleotides) under uncultured bacterium. RNAcentral describes it as "partial 16S ribosomal RNA". It matches the Rfam family "Bacterial small subunit ribosomal RNA", at positions 338 to 795 of the family's 1533-position model. The record is from RNAcentral.